This 301-nucleotide ribosomal RNA is filed under the name uncultured bacterium. RNAcentral's name for it is "partial 16S ribosomal RNA". It matches the Rfam family "Bacterial small subunit ribosomal RNA", at positions 509 to 807 of the family's 1533-position model. The record is from RNAcentral.
CAGCCGCCACGGUAAUACGUAGGGUGCAAGCGUUAAUCGGAAUUACUGGGCGUAAAGCGUGCGCAGGCGGUUUGUUAAGACAGAUGUGAAAUCCCCGGGCUCAACCUGGGAACUGCAUUUGUGACUGGCAAGCUAGAGUGUGGCAGAGGGGGGUGGAAUUCCGCGUGUAGCAGUGAAAUGCGUAGAUAUGCGGAGGAACACCGAUGGCGAAGGCAGCCCCCUGGGCCAACACUGACGCUCAUGCACGAAAGCGUGGGGAGCAAACAGGAUUAGAUACCCCUGUAGUCCCUGUCUCUUAUAC